Molecule: small RNA, 1127 nt
Filed under: Pongo abelii (Sumatran orangutan)
Lineage: Eukaryota; Metazoa; Chordata; Mammalia; Primates; Hominidae
Description: retained intron
Source: RNAcentral
CGGACUUCCAGAUAGAGGCCGCCAUCAGCAAAAUCUUUGGCUCGGAGGCAGCCUGGAAGGUGACAGAUGAAUGCAUCCAAAUCAUGGGGGGUAUGGGCUUCAUGAAGGAACCUGGAGUAGAGCGUGUGCUCCGAGAUCUUCGCAUCUUCCGGAUCUUUGAGGGGACAAAUGACAUUCUUCGGCUGUUUGUGGCUCUGCAGGGCUGUAUGGUAAGAAGGAGAAUUGGGUGGGGGUAGAGGUGGGGAGGACAGCGAGUCCUGACUGCUGGACCCUCUUCCCCCAUAGGACAAAGGAAAAGAGCUCUCUGGGCUUGGCAGUGCUCUAAAGAAUCCCUUUGGGAAUGCUGGCCUCCUGCUAGGAGAGGCAGGCAAACAGCUGAGGCGGUAGGCUUAGGGCCAGAGCCAGGGGAGGGCAGGGUGGUAUAUGGCAACUAACCAGUCAUUCUCCCUCUUCCUCUCAGGCGGGCAGGGCUGGGCAGCGGCCUGAGUCUCAGUGGACUUGUCCACCCGGAGUUGAGUCGGAGCGGCGAGCUGUACAGGCUCUGGAGCAGUUUGCCACUGUGGUGGAGGCCAAGCUGAUAAAACACAAGAAGGGGAUUGUCAAUGAACAGUUUCUGCUGCAGCGGCUGGCAGACGGGGCCAUCGACCUCUAUGCCAUGGUGGUGGUUCUCUCGAGGGCCUCAAGAUCCCUAAGUGAGGGCCACCCCACGGCCCAGCAUGAGAAAAUGCUCUGUGACACCUGGUGUAUCGAGGUGAGACUCGGGGCUGCCAAGCUCAGGUGAGGGCUAGAGGUACAGGCCCAACCCCUCCUUCCCUCUCCCCAGGCUGCAGCUCGGAUCCGAGAGGGCAUGGCCGCCCUGCAGUCUGACCCCGGGCAGCAAGAGCUCUACCGCAACUUCAAAAGCAUCUCCAAGGCCUUGGUGGAGCGGGGUGGUGUAGUCACCAGCAACCCACUUGGCUUCUGAAUACUCCCGUCCAGGGCCUGGCCCGGUUAUGUGCCUUCCCUCAAGCUAAAGCCGAAGCCCGUUUCCUUAGGGCCCUGGUUUGUCCGGAAGGGGCCUAAUGUUCCCAGCACUGUGCCUGCUCUCAAGAGCACUUACUGCCUCACAAAUAAUAAAAUUUCUAACC